RNAcentral lists this ribosomal RNA (353 nucleotides) under uncultured archaeon. Its description in RNAcentral is "bacterial SSU rRNA". It matches the Rfam family "Archaeal small subunit ribosomal RNA", at positions 236 to 591 of the family's 1478-position model. The record is from RNAcentral.
GUGAGGCAACGGCUCACCAAACCUUUAACCGGUGCGGGCCGUGAGAGCGGGAGCCCGGAGAUGGGCACUGAGACAAGGGCCCAGGCCCUACGGGGCGCAGCAGUCGCGAAAACUUUGCAAUACACGAAAGUGUGACAGGGCUAUCCCGAGUGCCAUCCGCUGAGGAAGGCUUUUACCCAGUCUAGAAAGCUGGGAGAAUAAGGAGAGGGCAAGCCUGGUGUCAGCCGCCGCGGUAAUACCAGCUCUCCGAGUGGUGUGGAUGUUUAUUGGGCCUAAAGCAUCCGUAGCUGGCCAAGUUAGUCCCCUGUCUAAUCCACCGAAUUAAUCGUUGGAGUGCGGGGGAUACUGCUCGG